This 748-nucleotide ribosomal RNA is filed under the name Pseudomonas fluorescens. RNAcentral's name for it is "bacterial SSU rRNA". It matches the Rfam family "Bacterial small subunit ribosomal RNA", at positions 43 to 784 of the family's 1533-position model. The record is from RNAcentral. Lineage: Bacteria; Pseudomonadati; Pseudomonadota; Gammaproteobacteria; Pseudomonadales; Pseudomonadaceae.
CCCAUUAGGGAACGAAUACAGUCGAGCGGAUGACGGGAGCUUGCUCCUUGAUUCAGCGGCGGACGGGUGAGUAAUGCCUAGGAAUCUGCCUGGUAGUGGGGGACAACGUUUCGAAAGGAACGCUAAUACCGCAUACGUCCUACGGGAGAAAGCAGGGGACCUUCGGGCCUUGCGCUAUCAGAUGAGCCUAGGUCGGAUUAGCUAGUUGGUGGGGUAAUGGCUCACCAAGGCGACGAUCCGUAACUGGUCUGAGAGGAUGAUCAGUCACACUGGAACUGAGACACGGUCCAGACUCCUACGGGAGGCAGCAGUGGGGAAUAUUGGACAAUGGGCGAAAGCCUGAUCCAGCCAUGCCGCGUGUGUGAAGAAGGUCUUCGGAUUGUAAAGCACUUUAAGUUGGGAGGAAGGGCAGUAAGCUAAUACCUUGCUGUUUUGACGUUACCGACAGAAUAAGCACCGGCUAACUCUGUGCCAGCAGCCGCGGUAAUACAGAGGGUGCAAGCGUUAAUCGGAAUUACUGGGCGUAAAGCGCGCGUAGGUGGUUUGUUAAGUUGGAUGUGAAAGCCCCGGGCUCAACCUGGGAACUGCAUCCAAAACUGGCAAGCUAGAGUACGGUAGAGGGUGGUGGAAUUUCCUGUGUAGCGGUGAAAUGCGUAGAUAUAGGAAGGAACACCAGUGGCGAAGGCGACCACCUGGACUGAUACUGACACUGAGGUGCGAAAGCGUGGGGAGCAAACAGGAUUAGAUA